CGGGGACCCCCAGCCCCACAGAGACACUGAGGGGGACCCCCAGCCCCACGGAGACAGCGAGGAGGACCCCCAGACCCACGGAGAGAGCAAGGGGGGGAACGAGGACCCCUAGACCCAUGGGGACAGCAAAGGGGACCCCCAGCCCCAUGGGGACAGCGAGGAGGAGGAUGAGGACCCCCAGCCCCACUGAGACACCAAGAGGGACCCCCAGCCCCAUGGAGAAAGCAAGGGGGACCCUCAGCCCCACGGAGACACCGAGGAGGACCCCUAGACCCAUAACAACAGCGAGGGGGGGACGAGGACCCCCAGCCCCACGGAGACACCAAGAGGGACCCCCAGUCCCAUGGAGACAGCGAGGGGGGGAGCGAGGACCCCCAGCCCCACAGAGACAGUGACGGGGACCCCCAGCCCCACAGAGACACUGAGGGGGACCCCCAGCCCCACGGAGACAGCGAGGAGGAGGAUGAGGACCCCUAGACCCAUAGAGACAGUGACGGGGGGGACAAGGACCCCCAGCCCCAUGGGGACUACGAGGGGGAUCCCCAGCCCCACGGAGACAGCGAGGAGGACCCCUAGACCCAUAACGACAGUGAGGGGGGGAAUGAGGACCCCCAGCCCCAUGGGGACACCGAGGGGGGGGACGAGGACCCCCAGCCCCACGGAGACACCGAGGGGGACCCCCAGCCCCAUGGGGACAGCGAGGAGGAGGAUGAGGACCCCCAGCCCCACUGAGACACCAAGAGGGACCCCCAGCCCCAUGGAGAAAGCAAGGGGGACCCUCAGCCCCACGGAGACACCGAGGAGGACCCCUAGACCCAUAACAACAGCGAGGGGGGGACGAGGACCCCCAGCCCCACGGAGACACCAAGAGGGACCCCCAGUCCCAUGGAGACAGCGAGGGGGGGAGCGAGGACCCCCAGCCCCACAGAGACACCGAGGGGGGGGAUGAGGACCCCCAGCCCCACGGAGACAGUGACGGGGACCCCCAGCCCCNNNNNNNNNNUGUGACGUCACUGUGGGGCAUCCCCUCCGUUGUGAUGUCACGUCACCAUGUGCCCCUCCGUCGUGAUGUCACGGUGUCCCCGUGUGAUGUCACUGUGACGUGUCCUCUCCAUCGUGAUGUCACGGCGUCUCACGUGACGUCACUAUGAUGUGUCCUCUCCGUUGUGAUGUCAUGGUGUCCUCGUGUGAUGUCACUAUGACGUGUCCCCUCCGUCGUGAUGUCACAGUGUCUCGUGCGACGUCACCGUGACCCGUCCCCUCCAUCGUGAUGUCACGGUGUCCCCUUGUGACGUCACUGUGACGUGUCCUCUCCAUCCUGGUGUUAUGGCACGUCCAUGUGAUGUCACCGUGAUGUGUCCCCUCUGUCGUGAUGUCACGGUGUCACCAUGUGAUGUCAGUGUGAUGUGUUCCCUCCAUCGUGAUGUCACGGUGUCUCACGUGAUGUCACUGCGGGGCAUCCCCUCCGUUGUGAUGUCACGGCGUCUCACGUGAUGUCACUGUGACACGUCUCCUCGGUUGUGAUGUCAUGGUGUCCCCCUGUGAUGUCAGUGUGGCAUGUCCCCUCCGUCGUGAUGUCACUGUGGGGUCUCCCCUCCGUCGUGAUGUCACGGUGUCUCGUGUGAUGUCACUGCGGGGUGUCCCCUCCGUCGUGAUGUCACAGCGUCUCACGUGAUGUCACUGUGAUGUGUCCCCUCCGUCGUGAUGUCACGGCGUCCCCGUGUGACGUCACUGUGACGUGUCCCCUCCAUCCUGGUGUUAUGGCACGUCCAUGUGAUGUCACUGUGAUGCGUCCCCUCCGUCGUGAUGUCACGGGGUCCCCGUGUGAUGUCACUGUGAUGCGUCCCCUCCAUCGUGAUGUCACGGUGUCCUCGUGUGACGUCAGUGUGGGGCAUCCCCUCCAUUGUGAUGUCACGGUGUCCUCGUGUGAUGUCACUGCGGGGCGUCCC
RNAcentral lists this long non-coding RNA (1949 nucleotides) under Calidris pugnax (ruff). RNAcentral's name for it is "lncRNA (ENSCPUG00000000552.1)". Lineage: Eukaryota; Metazoa; Chordata; Aves; Charadriiformes; Scolopacidae. The record is from RNAcentral.